Molecule: ribosomal RNA, 388 nt
Filed under: uncultured bacterium
Lineage: Bacteria
Description: bacterial SSU rRNA
Rfam family: Bacterial small subunit ribosomal RNA
Source: RNAcentral
AUUGAACGCUGGCGGCAUGCUUUACACAUGCAAGUCGAGCGGCAGCGCGGGGGCAACCCUGGCGGCGAGCGGCGGACGGGUGAGUAAUGCAUCGGAACGUAUCCCGUAGUGGGGGACAACCCAGCGAAAGCUGGGCUAAUACCGCAUAUGCUCUACGGAGGAAAGCAGGGGACUCGCAAGAGCCUUGUGCUAUGGGAGCGGCCGAUGUCCGAUUAGCUAGUUGGUGGGUAAAGGCUUACCAAGGCGACGAUCGGUAGCUGGUCUGAGAGGAUGAUCAGCCACACUGGGACUGAGACACGGCCCAGACUCCUACGGGAGGCAGCAGUGGGGAAUUUUGGACAAUGGGGGCAACCCUGAUCCAGCCAUGCCGCGUGCGGGAAGAAGGGCC